CAACAACGCGUAGUGCUUUGAAAACAACAACAGCAGCGCCAGCGUCUGAGAAGAUUUUAAAAUCGCCAGUGAAGGUGGUCAUUACCGCAGCCGAUUCGAUCUCCGAUGAGGACAGCACGCAAACAGUCGGUUAUCAGCCGAUCGCUGGUCUUCCAAACAGACCCAUCAAUCAUGUGCAGCCAUUUAUGAAGAUGUCAGAUUUUUCGGAUAGUUCACAUAGUGGCGUCUCCAGUCCGGCCUCGUCGCUAAUUGAAAAUUUCCACAAGAAAAAUGGCAGCACACCAACAACAAAUGUUGGUGUUGGUGGUGGUGGUGGCGUCGUUACAGUUACUACAGUUACAACGCCCGGCAUCAAUGGCCUCACGGUGGGUAACUGCAAUGGCAGUAAUGGUUUGAGCAGUGCAACAACAACGACCGUGGGGCGACACAUAAACACGAGUUCGAGUAGUAGUGUUAAGGAAACAUCAUCCACAUCGCAGCAUCAGGUCGUUAACAGCAGUACAACAACGCGCGUUGAAAAGAAACGUCUGCACCAUAUAACAUCCUCAUCAUCUUCGUCAACGUCCUCCUCGUCCACAUCAUCAUCUGAAAUGAAGACGGCAGCACUGAAACGCGAUUUGAGCGAAAUCAAAAAUUCCAUGUCCGAAAUCACCGAUCUGGUCGGUCGCAAUACCAACAAUGCGAGCGGCGGCGGUGGUCUGGGCAGCAACAAAAACCUGGCCAUCUCAGCGUCAGCGCAUCAGCCAUCCAUAAACGAUCUCACACAAAUCAAUGCGUUGAACAGCUCGGAUGCCAUCAACAAAUUGAAGAAAAAAAUCCGCUCAUCCAUUGAAAAUCUCGUCGACAGCGAUGCCGAACCGUUGGUAACAUUUCCGGACACAGAUGAUGAUCAUCAUAAUUUAGCUGAUUUGGUGAGCGCUUCGAAUGGCAAAUUGACCGCCAAUGGACUGAAUGGGUCGGGUAAAAUCGUCGACACCGUUAAAUUCGAAGAGAAACGCACAAAGACCGAAUCGAAGACAAAAGUCGUAGCCGAUGGUUUCAGUACGGAGCAGGCAACCAGUAAUUUGGCCGAAAUGAAACGGCUACAAACGGGUGAUAUCGAUUAUCAGGAGGCUAAAGCGGCAGCAGCGAUGCGAAAUCGCACCGAAAUGGAUGGUGUGAAAACUGAGGAGAAUGCCGCCGUUAUACAGGAAGCCCUCUCGCUACGCACUGGCGAUAUAACUCAACAGGCUAGCAACAAUGUGGCCGCCGCCAGUAUUAAAGUGCAAAGUGACACCUUCUCCGCCGACAAGAAAGCCAUCUCACAGUCGCAACAAUCACAGACGAUGACCUCGAACGGCAUCAUCAGCCAAGAGAAGCAUAUGUCAUCCGCUUCGCAAGCGAAUUACACUAUGACCCAUAAGGGUGUCUCCAGCUCGGGCAGCAGCAUGAUCUCGUCCUCCUCACAAAUGUCCGCCACCAACGGGGCGCUCAUCAAACUGCACGACCUAAAAUUGGACGAUCUCAAGGCACUAACAUCCGGCAGCGGACAACGAGAGAUCGAACAGGCUAUCGCUAAAUAUUCCCGCGUACUGACGUCAUUCGUAAAUACGCUGGAGGACUCGAAAGCAGCGCAAGAGAAAUCGUUGUAUUUGGAGAAAAUCAAUGAGGUUAUGCAACGCGCUUGGGCUGUGCCCACACACGGUCAUGAGCUCGGCUACAGUCUAUGCAACUCAUUGCGCAAUAGUGGCGGUUUAGAUUUGCUCAUGAAGAAUUGUGUACAGGGUGAUAUGAAAAUCAAGUUCUCCUCGGCCAAAUUGUUGGAGCAAUGCUUAACUACAGAAAAUCGUACACACGUCGUGGACAAUGGUCUCGACAAAGUGGUGAAUGUGGCCUGUAUGUGCACAAAGGAACCAAACACCGAACAUUCGCGUGUGGGUACCGGCAUACUGGAGCAUCUAUUCAAACACUCGGAGGGUACGUGCUCGGAUGUCAUCAAGUUGGGUGGUCUCGAUGCUGUGCUCUUCGAAUGUCGUACAAAUGACGUGGAGACUUUGCGUCAUUGCGCUAGUGCCUUAGCCAAUUUGUCACUUUAUGGUGGUGCUGAAAAUCAAGAAGCUAUGAUCUUUCGCAAAGUACCCAUGUGGUUAUUUCCAUUGGCCUUCCAUGACGAUGAUAAUAUAAAAUAUUACGCCUGCCUUGCAAUUGCCGUACUCGUGGCGAACAAAGAGAUCGAAGCUGAAGUGCUUAAAUCAGGUUGUCUCGAUUUGGUGGAACCCUUCGUCACCACACACGAUCCCUCCGAAUUUGCGCGCUCCAAUUUAGCGCAUGCCCACGGACAAAGCAAGCAUUGGCUAGAACGUUUGGUGCCAGUAUUGAGUUCGAACCGUGAAGAGGCACGCAAUCUCGCCGCCUUCCAUUUCUGCAUGGAGGCGGGCAUUAAGCGUGAACAAGGCAAUACAGAAAUCUUUCGCGAUAUUGGCGCGAUCGAAGCCCUUAAGACUGUAGCGAGUUGCCCGAAUGCGAUCGCAUCUAAAUUCGCCGCGCAAGCGCUUCGUCUCAUCGGUGAAACUGUGCCACAUAAACUCUCGCAACAGGUACCAUUGUGGUCGGUCGAAGACGUGCAAGAAUGGGUAAAACAAAUUAAUUUCGGUCAGUUUGUGAAACAGUUCGAGGAGUCUCAAGUUGAUGGUGAUCUAUUGCUGAAGCUGAAUGAGGAAAAUCUACGCGAUGAUAUUGGCAUCGCGAAUGGCAUACUGUUGAAACGUUUUGAACGCGAGCUGCAAAAUCUCAAACGCAUGGCCGACUACUCAUCGAAAGAUACGGCAAAGAUGCAUCAUUUCUUGGCCGAAAUCGGUGCAGAGUACUGUACCUACACAUAUGCAAUGCUGAAUGCCGGCAUAGAUCGGAACUCGCUGCCACAGCUGAAUGAGGAUAUGCUCAUUGCUGAGUGUGGCAUCAAGAACUCCAUACAUCGGCUGCGUAUACUGAAUGCCGUAAAAAACCUAGAAAACUCAUUACCCAGCUCGUCGGAGGAGAAUAUGGCAAAGACCUUGGAUGUCUUUGUCAGCUAUCGGCGUUCGAAUGGCUCGCAGUUGGCCAGUUUAUUGAAGGUUCACUUGCAGUUGCGCGGUUUCUCGGUGUUCAUCGAUGUUGAGCGCCUGGAAGCGGGCAAAUUCGAUAAUGGACUGCUAAACAGUAUUCGACAAGCGAAGAAUUUCGUUUUAGUAUUAACACCAAAUGCGUUGCAACGCUGUGUGGAUGACGACGAUGGCAAGGAUUGGGUGCAUCGCGAAAUCGUCGCCGCGUUGAAAUCAAAUUGUAAUAUUAUUCCUAUAAUUGAUCAGCAAUUUAUAUGGCCAGAGACCGAUCGCUUGCCAGAAGACAUGCGCAGCGUUUGCCAUUUCAACGGCGUCACGUGGAUACACGACUACCAGGAUGCCUGCAUCGAUAAACUAGAGAGAUUCAUGCGUGGUGAGAAGAAUUUGGAUCGCCUUGUGGGCAUACCCAGCACACCGGGCUCGGUGACCUACCAAAGAAUGCACAGCAAUGACUCCGACUAUCAGCAAAGCGUGGGCGGCGGCAGCGUCGGCGGCGGUGGCAGUGGCGUUGUAUGUGUCAGCGGUGCCGGUGGUGCGGCGAAUAGCAGCGGACAAGCAGCUAAUCACCAGGCAAAUAGAUACCGGCAAUCCCCUUCACCGGCCAGACAACGGAUCGGGGGCAGCUGCGGACCGCUCGGCAGCAACGGUCAACUGAGCAUGUUCGGGCGUGGUUCGAAGCGCAACCUAAUCACGCCGUACCGCACACAACAGACGAUGGCGCAGCCGAAGACGCCACUCAUGGGUGGCUCCAUGCAAAAUAUGUCACCGGCUAGCUACCGGCCGCCCCGGCGCAGCUCGGCCAGUGGCAUUAACAAUGGCAAUAAGAAUAGUGCGUCAGCCGGUGCUGUCACAAAUUAUCGCAGUCAUAGUGUUGAUGAAUUGCUAGACACCACCGACGGUUUGGGCUCCAACGAUCGCAUUGCCGAUAUGGCGGCACGUGUUACGGCCGGCAGCACAGCGCUGACCAACGCCAGUUCGACAAGCACAUUACAACCGGGCAACGGUUAUGCCUCAUCGGUUGGUUCGCUGUCCGAGUUUGCCAGUGAAGCGCCGCCACAAACGGUCGCUAGACGUGAGAAGAGCGCCAAUAUACCAACGAAUGCGCAGCACCGUAAAUCGCGUUCGCUCGAUCAUUUUCUCGAUGACAAGACGUUGGCGUUGGUGGUGGCGUCGCAACCACAGCCGGCGCUCAUGGAAGGUACGCAAAGUAUGCAGAAUCUUGCCACACCCGCAACGCCCGAUCUCAAACGCGGCACACGCACACAACCGUUAACGCAACGCGGCGAUAGCGUGUGCACAUCCAGCGCCGCAACCACGCCCGAACCGGCCGAUGUCGGCUUACGGAAGACGCACGCCGGCGGUAUGCUGCCGGUAACGCGUCGCAGCCCGGAGGGUGUCAGCUCGACGGAUGACACACAAUCGUUGCGCAGCAGCAAUACCUCAUGCGGCAGCAUGUUCAGAUCGCAGGUGCGCGCGUCGGCGCAUACACAUCGCGGCAGUCAGAAUAGUGGCAAAACGUCGUCAACUUCGCUGAGUAGCAAUGCGCCGGGAAACAACACGCACAGCAACAGCAGCAACAACAACAAUGCAAACAAUAAAACCAUUCUGAAUCGAACAAUUAAAAAAGUUCGUUCGCUGAUGAAAAAGUAAGCAUCACACACACACACAGUCACACACUCAAAUAUACACUCCAAUAAACACUUAACUCGUAUACCCGUGUAUCAGUGAAGUUGCGAUCUCAAUCAAAAUCAAUAUCGAAAUGUUUGCGCCAAUCAGUUCACCCAAUGUACAUAAAUAUGUUGAAACCGUAAACAAUCAAUCGUAUACAUUCGUGUGUCACCAUAUUAUCGACCAAUCAGCAGUUAACUUGUCUCGCUCACUGUAUCUCUGUAUCUCUCUCUCUCCCGCUUUCCCUUCUUCUAAUAAAACUGCUUCAUAAAAUGCAUUUUAAAUUCUAACUGUUUCUCAUUAGUGUCUUGUUGUUGCCAUAACCAUCUCGCCGUGCUUCCAUACAUACAUACAUAUGUAGUAUACAUACUAUACUAUAUGUUAUACAUAACCAUACAACUUCAUAUAUUUUUUUAUUAGUUAAUAUAGUUAGUUGAUAAGCUAUAAGUAAGAAUUAUAUGGCGCUUGCCACACAGCGAGUGCUCUGCCGCGCUUAGAUUUUAGACCUGAUAGCUUAAUUCCCGCUUCUUCAAUACAAUCCUGCAGUUGCAUAGCUCAGCAUGUGUGGAGCGACUCUCUCACGAAAUUUUUUCAGAACCCCACUAAAAAAUAUAGAUUUUUAGGUCACCAAAGGCUUUAUACACCCAUGUAGAAAAGUAGAGAUUACUCGAACAGAGGUAAGACGUUAGAUAAACCCAAACCAGUGGUGUAUUAUCACAUAACGAAAGCAAUGUUAAAAGCCAGAGUCCUUUCUUAGGGUGUAUGUUGAGCACAGUAAACCGAUUUGUAAGACUUUAUACGAUAUAAUUAUACUAACUUCUAGCAACUACUUUACUUAAUUUUCGAUAUUAGUAACUAUAUAUAUGUACUUAACAUCACUCUCUUCAUUAGCAAAGUUUCAUAUUCAGCUUUCCUAGUUUAUUCAGAUAUUCUCGACAAAUCAGCUAAAAUUACGACAAAUGUGUCUUGGUUUUUAAACCACUUAAUUAUAGAAAAUACUAAAAAAGUUAGCAACAGAUGAUUACAGUUCCUCAACUCUAAUUUACAGCGAAAUCUCUUCAGCAUACUCUUAGCAGCUUUCAAAAAUAUGCGACCAAUAAUAUAUGCUGACUCAAUCUAAAUUUCAGAGAAACCCUUCAACCUUACAAGAGUAGAGAGUUAUGUUAGGGCUAAUGCCUUCUCAAAUGAACCUUAUACCCGAAAUUGGUUCGAAGCUCUGAUAAUGUAGUCGCAAUAAUCAAUUAGCACAUUUUCAAAAAAGAAAUAGAUAGAAGAUCUCAUAGUAGUAGUUACAAAUUCAGCACAUUCUCAGCCCAUAAACAAUUGAAACUCUGCACAUUUUACGCUCAGUCAAACUAGACACUUACAUCACUGCUGCGAAUAUCUACUUAAGAGGAUACUCGUAUAUAAACUAUACAUUCAACUUUCUUUAUGAAAAGUAACGCAUCUAAGGAUUCUUUGCCUCCCCUUUCGCUACAAAUAUAACAAACGAAGUGCUUAUCUGGUAACAGUAUCUCGCUAAUUUCAAUACGUUUUUUCUCUUUUCAAAAGUAAUUUUUUAAUAACAAAAUUUCUUAGUAACGUUUAUUACAAACUAACAGUGAACUUUGGUAGCCUAGGAGAUUACAUUCUUGUAAAGAAAUUUCGAAAAACUUGUGAGCUAAUGUGACGUCAGCAUAGCAGCUGAUUUUGACAAUUGCGCUGUGUAGCGCUUGACGUUGCUGUAAUCUCUCUAUUUAACAGAAAACCAAGUUACUGCUCUUUUUUUAUUUUAGUUGUUGUUUCGUCAUUAAAAAUACGAUAAUGGAAAAUAUAUGCUUGUAUGCCAGCUUGUGUGCGAAACCAUGACACUUAAUACAAACAUACAAACAUAUUUGAUAAUUCGAGCGACUGGAAGCCAAACUAACCGAGAUACAAUCUAUUUGCCUUGUGAUUAGUAGGUGACCAUAAGAGAGCAUCAAUUACUUGUUGCGCCUUUUGCCUGAAAACGUCGUCGUGCACGCCCAUUUCAACGUGUC
Molecule: RNA transcript, 6766 nt
Organism: Bactrocera latifrons
Lineage: Eukaryota; Metazoa; Arthropoda; Insecta; Diptera; Tephritidae
Gene: Sarm
Gene name: sterile alpha and TIR motif-containing protein 1
Exons: 10
Source: RefSeq, a predicted model, not a curated record